This is a transfer RNA of Plicaturopsis crispa FD-325 SS-3, 129 nucleotides long. It matches the Rfam family "tRNA". From Rfam's summary of the family: Transfer RNA (tRNA) molecules are approximately 80 nucleotides in length. Their secondary structure includes four short double-helical elements and three loops (D, anti-codon, and T loops). The record is from Rfam. NCBI's taxonomy places the organism in Eukaryota, Fungi, Basidiomycota, Agaricomycetes, Amylocorticiales, Amylocorticiaceae.
GGUGAGAUGGCCGAGCGGUCUAAGGCGCCAGACUAAGGAUCAGUUCCAAUGGAACGCACCUGACAAGCACGUAAUCAUGCUUAGUCAUCUGGUCCGACAAGGGCGUGGGUUCGAAUCCCACUCUCAUCA